GAUUCCAUAGUGUAAUGGUUAUUACGGCUGCUUUAUAUGCAGAAGACCCUAGGUUUGAACCCCAGUGGAACUG
RNAcentral lists this transfer RNA (73 nucleotides) under Scleropages formosus (Asian bonytongue). It matches the Rfam family "tRNA". From Rfam's summary of the family: Transfer RNA (tRNA) molecules are approximately 80 nucleotides in length. Their secondary structure includes four short double-helical elements and three loops (D, anti-codon, and T loops). The record is from Rfam by way of RNAcentral. Lineage: Eukaryota; Metazoa; Chordata; Actinopteri; Osteoglossiformes; Osteoglossidae.